GUCUGGUAUUUUGAGUGUUUCCAUUGUGAAACGGACCCAUCAAACUGUAGGGGUGUAGAGAAAAUUUGAUUUGGUGAUAUAUUGUGAUGAUUUUCACGUUACUUAUUCACAAGGAUUUAAAUAAAAUACUAAGAAAUGCAAUUUAAAUCUUAUUUUUUCUUAUAUAUGUCCUCCAUUGUUAAAAGAACAUGUUAAAGACUCAAUUUUAAUUGAAACUGGGUUUUGAAAUUACCAAAAGUAUGUUUUUUUUAAUGGUUUCACAUCAUGUUAUAUUUAACUGUGCACUUUAUAGACAGCUUUGGAAAAUGUCCACAGCAUUUCCGCUUCAACAUCAACCUUACACUUACAUUUAGACUUUCGACUCACAACAGUAACAGAAGAUGUUAUAAACCAGGUCAAUUAUUUCCUAAUUACUUCUCAGAGGGUCAGGGAUUUAUUCUUUAAACUACUUCUUUUUCCAUCUUCCAUUUAAUUGUGUUCUGAAAAUGGGCUUUAAAGAAAAGUUCCUUUUAGUCUUUAGAUAGUUUUGAUCUGCCUCUGUUUGUUCACAUCUAUAAUCUGGGCCUGACUUGACUUCUUUAAACUUUGUAUCCUUGCUGUCGUUGUGGCCAUAAACGUAUCAGCGAGCAGCUGAAGAUGCACUCCUGCACACCUCAUCAUUCUGCACACAUUCACACCUUUUCAAUUGUUGUAUGUCCUUUGGAAGUACCUCAGAGAAUUGGUGGCAUCUUGUCUUAAACGCUCACUCUUGACAUUGUUGAUGCACAAAUAGUCUAAAGAAAGGAAAAUAUAGCCGUAAUUGAAUUGUCAACCUUUCGUUGGAGGUCAUAAAAUCUGUGUAUACCAAAAGUGAACACACCUUCUGGGCAUCCUAUUACACUUACCGCAUUUAAAUGACAUGCAAAUGUCCAGGACUGAGAUAGGGCUUCUCCCAUAGAAGGAAAUCUCACCACUUACUGUACUCUAUUGUACUCUUGCCUCCUUUGUUGCUACGGCAAUAUUUUCCUCCCCCAGACUCUGGUUACAACAUCAUUAUUUUUGUGAGAAAAUGUAGGAAAAGUGAAUCUACAGAAAAGCAGAAAUGUGUUCAUCGUUUUCUGAGCAAAUGGGGGAAUUUAUGCUUUUUACAACAUCAUGUCAGCAAUGGGGAACUUUAUGUUCGUCGGAUUUUGUUGCUAUUUGCAAAAAAUCAAUUAAAAACAAAAAAAGAGUAAAAUGAAAACACAAACUCUAAGCGGAAAAAAUAAGGAAAUGAAAAACGAUACACAUGACACACCACCACAAGUAAGUUCUUACAUUUCCACCAAUCUAAAGGCUCUUCUCUUUUGGAAAGUUGAACCAUUGCAUUUUUAAUUUUGAAUGAAUGUUUGAAUAGUCUGCAGAGGAGCCAGUUUAGUUGCUGAGGAAAAGGGAAGUUAAAAAAAGGAAGUUAGUGUUGAACCGAGUGAGUGGGAUCCAGUUGAAGAGUCUAGAUUUGUGUGCCUCCUCUCACCAUGGCCCACAUCUUUUACAUCUCUCAUCUUCAUUGUAUUCAUGAUGCAACUGAGAGUAAUGGCUGCUUCUGCUUCAAGAUUCAAUCUCUCAUCAGCAGAAAAUAGCUGCUAGUGAGGUGACAAUGGGUGGCUUUCCACUCUGCUCCGUCUACCUUCCCUAUUUACUUCUACUUUUCUAAAAAAAAUACCUCCUACUUUUGUGUUGACCUAGUGAGCCUAUAGAACCAAAAGAGUAAUUUUGCAUUGGAAGUAUUUCACAGAAAAUCUUGUGUUGAGAAUUCCUAGAAGUAGUCUGAGUCAGACAGCUGUUUAAGCAUUUGUACUAAAAAAAUCUUCCGUUUAAACUAGAGCUUUUUAUUCAGCCAAGCAAACCAGUAAAUCUGUAAAUUAACUGAUGAUUUAACUGCUUUAGAAAAAAAAUGGUUUAAAGAAGAUUUUCAGAGAAAAUGUCUGUCAAAUUUGUUUCUCAGCUUUAGUCUGGAAGAGUGUAAAAAUAGUGUUUUUGGAGUCAAGUACUCAAAGGAGGGUUAUAAAGUGUUAAAUACUGAAUAUGCACUAGGCACCUCACAGCUUUAAUGCGGAUGUAAUUGGACGCAGUAGAGCUUUUGCAGUCUUUUCGCUGGGUGCUAAUGAAAUCCUGUCACUGUCACUGUGGCUAAUGUGUAGCAGGUGUAUAGUAUUAGCAUAUGUUACCGAGCUUUUUAGUUUCUCAUCCCUAUAUUUGAUUAGAACUGAAGAACCUUAGCUGAGGUGUUAAUGUUACUUCCGUCAGUGUUUAUCAGAGAAGUGUUAGAAAAAAAAAUCUAUUGAAAAUGUAUUGACAGCUGCAAGAAAAAGUAUGUGAACCCUUUGAGUUUACUUUUGAAUAUAUUCUGAUCUUCAUCUAAGUCUUCUUAAACUAAUGCAUCACAAAAAAUGUAAGUUUUUGUGUUUUUAUUGAGCAAAAUAUGUAACAUUAAAUGUUCAGGGUGGAAAAACUAUGUGAACCCUUGGCAGUAAGGAGAUCAGAACUUUUGGGCCAAGUAUUGAUUUUCUCUACUUGAUCUGAAAUAUGUAGCACUGAUAACUGGAUUAAUGCAAUUAGAUGUUCUAAAGAUAAUUAAUGAUUAUCACACAUAGUGUGGAUCAUUAAUGUAUGUGAGAAUUAGUUUAGAGAAUAUCAAUAAGCACUCUAUUGUUACUUGAAAACCUGAUUUUCAAUGUUUAAUAAUUGUUUUUCUGGAUUUAUUUACAAUUAUAUUUUGAUAAUAAUCAAUGAGUUUUAUGUACCUGUUAUGUGAUGUAUGAUUGAUGUUACUGUUUACUGAAAUCAUGAAACAAUGUUUUAUGAUUAAUCAACAAGCCCUUCUUCACUAAAAAAAAAACAUGAAAAAAAAAAAAAAACUUGCAUUUGAUGUGAUAAGAACCGGAUUACAUAACUCUGCAAAACUGUAAAAUGAGGUAACUAAGUAGGGGUGAAACAUAUUUUAUGACAAAUUCAUACAGAAAUGCAAGUAAUCCCAAAAGGUUCACAUAUUUAUUAUUGCAACUGUAGAUCGUCUUAUAAUUUUACCUUUUAUUCCAUAAAGAUUUGGUAAAUAACAUGUACUUAUGUAUUACUUUUCUACUUUCAUUUGCACGAAUGGACAUGCAUAUUAUAGCAAAAUCUAUGCAGAGCAACAAAAGAUUUAAAAAUGACCUCCAUAAUCAGUAGAACAGAAAAAUAUAAAACUUAAGAUCUUUUUGUGAUGACAGCAGUACAUAAGGACCUUAUUUAACAACUUCUUUGUCCUGGUAAUAAAAGUUUUAAGGAAAUCAAUGCAGUCUUUUAUAUAUAGAAACGCUGUACUUUGCAAACGAUCCCCCUAUUGAGAACAAAAUCACACCUCCUGAAACAUGCCAUUGAGUUUAAUCAGUGCAGUGAUCGCACAUUCUUCAAAACAACUCUUGCAAAGAAAAUGCCUAUUAUUUGAAUGUAUUUUUUUCCCAAAGUAAAGCUGCGUGUCCGGAAUAGGCAAAUACCUGUAUUUCUUUUUGAUCAAAUACAGAUAACUGCUGAGGCAUUUCAAUCGGCAUGCUUUUAAUGUGUGAGGAAACAUUUCUAAACCCUGUCGGACUGUGUGUUGAUGCUAUUAUCUGUCCACAUAGGAACACUUUUAACCGCAGUGACUAACGUGUGUGCGUGUGUGUGUGUGUGUGUGAACAACUGAUUGCAAAGCACUAACGCUCAAACACACAUGCUGAACUGCAGGGAACUGCACUAUUUCUGAUAAAUGUGUCAGGAUUUGAUUGCAAUUGUUGCUGAAAAACAGCUUUUAGGUGAACUGUGAUUGGGAUUUAGUCAUCUGUCAUUUGCAUUUAAUGCUUCGGUUUGCUAAUGUCUGUGUGCGUUGUGAUUUGUGUGCGUGUGUGUUUUCUUUGCCCAACACUUCAAGGUGAGGCCAGUUUCACUUAAGCGGAUUCCAUGAAGCCACUUCUGCCCGCAUCAACACAAGGACAGGUAAAGCAAGGACAGGUCUGAACUUGCAAUUAAGAAGGAAAGUUCAUCUAGAAGUCAGAGAGAUUAUAGGAGUUGGUGAAUUCUAUCACAGUUACUUCAAGAUGAAAGCAGCUGGACUCUGGACAGUUCACCGGGCUAUUGAAACGCCAUACAGAGAAGCACACUCUCAAUCAUACCUAAAAGACAAAAUAGAGCAGGGGAGCGCAAACGUUUUGACUUGUAGGCCACAAAGGGCUCUAAAAUUUGACAGAAGGGCUAGACCAGGACCAGGACAUCAAUCUACGAGGUGUUUCUGGGUGUUUUCUUCCCACACGUUUUGUGAGGAUACAUCGACAUCCCUGUGAAAGGUGUCGUUUUUCAGGCAGCAUGUGUUGCUCUAAACCUCCGUAUAAACCUUACAGACUUGUGAUGGCAGUGUUGAUAGUGCUGCUUUCAUUCAGCUUCUGCAGGACAGUGUUCAUUUCCUCAAAAAAAAAAAAAGAAAAAACUCUGGGAUCUGGAAAAAGUGAUCUGAAAAACAUUUCUGCUAUGUGACGGUCUGCCCUGGUUAAUCUGUUUUUUGUUAAUCAUAGUGUUACAGACCUGCUCCAAUGAGUAUUGUGUUUUUUUAAACAUGUUU
This is a long non-coding RNA of Oryzias melastigma (Indian medaka), 4591 nucleotides long. RefSeq lists it as uncharacterized. The record is from RefSeq and is a predicted model, not a curated record. The transcript has 3 exons. NCBI's taxonomy places the organism in Eukaryota, Metazoa, Chordata, Actinopteri, Beloniformes, Adrianichthyidae.